UGGGGAAUCUUGCACAAUGGGGGCAACCCUGAUGCAGCGACGCCGCGUGAGCGAUGAAGCCCUUUGGGGCGUAAAGCUCUUUCGCCCGGAACGAUAAUGACGGUACCGGGAGAAGAAGCUGCGGCUAACUACGUGCCAGCAGCCGCGGUAAUACGUAGGCAGCAAGCGUUGUUCGGCGUUACUGGGCGUAAAGAGUGCGUAGGCGGUUUUCUAAGUUCGGUGUGAAAUCUCCCGGCUUAACUGGGAGGGUGCGCCGAAGACUGGGAAGCUGGAGUGUGGGAAAGGCAGGCGGAAUUCCUGGUGUAGCGGUGAAGUGCGUAGAUAUCAGGAGGAGCACCGGCGGUGUAGACGGCUUGCUAGACCAUAACUGACGCUGAGGCACGAAAGCGUGGGUAGCAAACA
This 402-nucleotide ribosomal RNA is filed under the name uncultured bacterium. RNAcentral describes it as "bacterial SSU rRNA". It matches the Rfam family "Bacterial small subunit ribosomal RNA", at positions 355 to 774 of the family's 1533-position model. The record is from RNAcentral.